AAACCAGGAUUAGAUACCCUAUUAUAAAAAUUUAAAUUAAUUUACUAAAAAAUUAAUAGUUAUGUUCUUUAAAUUUAAAAAAUUUGGCGGUAUUUUAGUCUUAUUAGAGGAACCUGUUUUUUAAUUGAUAAUCCACGAUUAAUUUUACUUAUUUUAAUUAAUUCAUAUAUCGCUGUCAUGAAUAUAUUAAAAAAUUUAUUUUCUUUAUUUAUUUUUAUAAUUUAUGUUAAGUCAAGAUGUGGUUUAUAAAUAAGUUAAUAAUGGGUUACAUUAAAUUUUAUUUUUGGAUUUUAAAUGAAAAUUAGAAUGAAAUUGGAUUUAAUAGUAAAUUUAUUUAUUUAGUAA
RNAcentral lists this ribosomal RNA (345 nucleotides) under Hayhurstia atriplicis. Its description in RNAcentral is "partial 12S ribosomal RNA". Lineage: Eukaryota; Metazoa; Arthropoda; Insecta; Hemiptera; Aphididae. The record is from RNAcentral.